CCCUACGGGGCGCAGCAGUCGCGAAAACUUCACAAUGGGAGAAAUCCCGAUGAGGGAAUUCCAAGUGCUAGCACUAUGUGUUAGCUGUUCUUUUGUCUAAAAAACAGAAGAAGUAAGGGCCGGGUAAGACGGGUGCCAGCCGCCGCGGUAAUACCCGCGGCCCGGGUGGUGGUCGAUAUUAUUGAGCCUAAAACGUCCGUAGCCGGUCUUGUAAAUCCUUGGGUAAAUCGGCCAGCUUAACUGUCUGAAGUCCGGGGAGACUGCAAGACUUGGGAUCGGGAGAGGUCAGAGGUACUUCUGGGGUAGGGGUGAAAUCUUGUAAUCC
RNAcentral lists this ribosomal RNA (325 nucleotides) under uncultured archaeon. RNAcentral's name for it is "bacterial SSU rRNA". It matches the Rfam family "Archaeal small subunit ribosomal RNA", at positions 321 to 648 of the family's 1478-position model. The record is from RNAcentral.